CCCCUUUUUAAUUCCCCCCACGAAGGCACAAAGUUCUAAGCUGUGCCCAUCUGGGCAGAGGGAUCCUCCUCCUCCUGUCAUCACUGCCUGGGCAGACCUUGCUUACAGAUUGGAAAUCCUCAAGACAUUAAUUCUACCAGAAGACGCUGAUUCUUUUCAUUCCUUCUCCAUUACUGGUUCCUUGGACACUGCUAAAAAGAGCAGGAAUGUGGCUACACACCCUUGGUCCUCCUGCUCUACCAUUUCCCCAGAGGCAAAGCAGCAGUCUGUUUACAAGUGAUAGAAAUGCUACCACCUUCAAUACGAGCCAGCACAACUGACUGAACUAGUGAAAUGGUUUUGGAUGUUGGCUGUCUUGUAGCAGCCAUAUUAUGCCACACCUAAAUCAUCUAUAACGUGAACUGUCUUGAUGAAGAACAAAUUGUUUGUUUUUGUUUUAACUCUAAUCUGUUAAUGUAUUUGCACAAUUUCAACAUGUAAGUGGGUGGGAGGGAGGGGGUGUAAUGAAGGGAAAGCUGCACCAGAACUUUACCAUUGCUGACUGACUUGUCUAUUGAAUAUAGUUACCAAAAAUAACAGGAGUCAUAGGAAUGCAACCCCCAAAAUAUCUGGCAUCUGCAGCCAUCUGAUCAAUAAAAUGGAGUUGGAAGUAUGAUUUCCUAUUUGUUUCUCAA
Pogoniulus pusillus (Red-fronted tinkerbird) is the source of this 674-nucleotide long non-coding RNA. RefSeq lists it as uncharacterized. NCBI's taxonomy places the organism in Eukaryota, Metazoa, Chordata, Aves, Piciformes, Lybiidae. The record is from RefSeq and is a predicted model, not a curated record. The transcript has 2 exons.